This 1963-nucleotide long non-coding RNA is filed under the name Heterocephalus glaber (naked mole-rat). Its description in RNAcentral is "lncRNA (ENSHGLG00000032721.1)". Lineage: Eukaryota; Metazoa; Chordata; Mammalia; Rodentia; Bathyergidae. The record is from RNAcentral.
CUGCCUACUAGAGGCACCAGCUUCCUGGCUGCCUGCCUGUUAAACUGAGUCUGUGUCUCUUUGUCAUUCAUUCUUGUUUGCUUCCGGGUCAGCGAGAACAAAGUCGUGGGUUUAGGUCCCCCACAUGUGGUGCCUGGUUCACGUAAUCAACACUGAAGUCAAAAUACAGAACUGUUCUCCCAGAAGGCUCUACCUUGCUAUGUCUUCAUAGCCAAUCCACUCGUCUCCCAUUUCUAACCCAUGACAACCAGUAACCUGUUUCCUAUCUCCAUCAUUUCCCUUCAGCCCCCCUUCUGCCUUGCAAUGCAGUGACACAGCUUGCAUUCUGCCCAGCUCUCACUGUGGUCCAUUGCCUGGGGGCAGAAACUUCUGGGACACCAAACAGAGGGAACUCAAAUGAUAGCCACAAGAAAUAAUACUGUCCCGGGAAGAAAAUACUGGCAAAGAGAAUGAAAGAAGAGAACAACCCAGAGAAGAGAGCAUCUUACUGUUGCUUAACCUGUAAUGGAACAGCUAGAGUAGGAAGAUAGGGUUGACAGACUCAAGUGAGCAGGGAGCUCUGCCUGGCUACACCAGUGCCCUCCAUGUCCCUUUGGGUGGCUCCGCCAAUGCCUGCCUGUCUGCUGCUGCUGCCCUUGUGGUACCCUACAUGCCUGUGUCCCUUCAUCUCUGUCCUCAUGGGGCCCAACAGCUUCUACCUCCUGUUGCCUUCCAGUCUUCCAGAGCCCCCCACCCCUGCCCCGAAUUGUGCUACAAGGGACUGUGGGAAAACAAGCCUCAGGCUCGUGGGCUGUCUGCCUUGGGGAGAGCAGAGAAACAUCGCAGAGUGACAGUACCACCAUCAGUACCAAAAUGCGACUUCACUGUCACCUGACUGCUUUCUGGUGUCAUUUUUGUGGCACUGUUAUGAUGUUAGUGCAUUCAUGUACAGAGCUAGGCAUCAUCUGCUGCAGUGGGGAAGGAAGAAUAGGAAAAAGUAUAGGAGUCUUGUUCACCUCUCUCCCCAGCACCUGUCACGGUAUUCCACAGACAACAGACAUUCAAUAAAUAUUGGCGUCUUAGUAUGUGUUUCUCCUGUAGAGAGUUCCUAGUGUCCCUCAGAUGUCUCAGUCUCCAUGCUACUAGAGACUAUAUAAAUGAAUUGUAUGUUCCCUUUGGAGGAUAAUUUGUUAAGCUACAUCAAAGCCUGGAGAAUGUACAUAUUGUAUGGCCAGCAAUUUCUAGGAAUUUAUUAUAAAGGAAUAAUAGAACUAAUAUAUAAAAUGGCAUGUUUACAAUAUAGAAAAAUGUAAAUGUCCUUUCAUAGGAAAUGUGUUUGGUAUAUUUCUAGAAUGGGAUAUUAUGCAGUGAUUAAAAAUGAUGGUGAAUUUGAUUGACAUGUGUGAAGGUUUAAUCCUGAUUGUCAAGCUGAUUGAAUUAAGAGAUAGAUGACUACAGAGAUGACUGAUUUGUGAGGGCUCUAACUUCAUCAAUCAACCAACCCAUUGAUGAGUUCUUAGCUGAAUGGGCUACUGGGAGGUGGGGCAUAGUUGGGAGACGUAGGUCACUGAGGGGAGGGUUAUAUUGAAGGGUAUGACUUUUCUCAGGCUCGCUUUCCUUCCUGGCUUCCAUGGGGUCAGUGGCUUUCCUCUGCCAUGCCAGUUCACCUUAGUGCUUCUCCCUCACCACAAGCCUACAACAGUGGAAUAGGAUAACCAUGGACUGAAGCCUCUGAAACUGUGGGCCAGAAUAAAUCUUUCCUCCUUAAAGUUGUCUUUCUGGGGUAUCUAGUUACAGCAAUGAAAAGCUGACUAACAUGAACAGAUAAUAUUUCAACUGAAGUAAUUCAGAAGAAUAUAUAUUUUCUCAAUGUUGAAAAAGAAUAAAGCAAAUUGUAUUACAGAAACAUUAAAAAAAAUUCAAGCAUGCAGAGCUGGAAACCACACGUUUCUUAUGUGAGUUCAUCAGUUGUGAAUGAAGGAAG